This 909-nucleotide ribosomal RNA is filed under the name Escherichia coli. RNAcentral describes it as "bacterial LSU rRNA". It matches the Rfam family "Bacterial large subunit ribosomal RNA", at positions 296 to 1215 of the family's 2925-position model. Lineage: Bacteria; Pseudomonadati; Pseudomonadota; Gammaproteobacteria; Enterobacterales; Enterobacteriaceae. The record is from RNAcentral.
AGCCCAGAGCCUGAAUCAGUGUGUGUGUUAGUGGAAGCGUCUGGAAAGGCGCGCGAUACAGGGUGACAGCCCCGUACACAAAAAUGCACAUACUGUGAGCUCGAUGAGUAGGGCGGGACACGUGGUAUCCUGUCUGAAUAUGGGGGGACCAUCCUCCAAGGCUAAAUACUCCUGACUGACCGAUAGUGAACCAGUACCGUGAGGGAAAGGCGAAAAGAACCCCGGCGAGGGGAGUGAAAAAGAACCUGAAACCGUGUACGUACAAGCAGUGGGAGCACGCUUAGGCGUGUGACUGCGUACCUUUUGUAUAAUGGGUCAGCGACUUAUAUUCUGUAGCAAGGUUAACCGAAUAGGGGAGCCGAAGGGAAACCGAGUCUUAACUGGGCGUUAAGUUGCAGGGUAUAGACCCGAAACCCGGUGAUCUAGCCAUGGGCAGGUUGAAGGUUGGGUAACACUAACUGGAGGACCGAACCGACUAAUGUUGAAAAAUUAGCGGAUGACUUGUGGCUGGGGGUGAAAGGCCAAUCAAACCGGGAGAUAGCUGGUUCUCCCCGAAAGCUAUUUAGGUAGCGCCUCGUGAAUUCAUCUCCGGGGGUAGAGCACUGUUUCGGCAAGGGGGUCAUCCCGACUUACCAACCCGAUGCAAACUGCGAAUACCGGAGAAUGUUAUCACGGGAGACACACGGCGGGUGCUAACGUCCGUCGUGAAGAGGGAAACAACCCAGACCGCCAGCUAAGGUCCCAAAGUCAUGGUUAAGUGGGAAACGAUGUGGGAAGGCCCAGACAGCCAGGAUGUUGGCUUAGAAGCAGCCAUCAUUUAAAGAAAGCGUAAUAGCUCACUGGUCGAGUCGGCCUGCGCGGAAGAUGUAACGGGGCUAAACCAUGCACCGAAGCUGCGGCAGCGACGCU